Molecule: ribosomal RNA, 460 nt
Filed under: uncultured bacterium
Lineage: Bacteria
Description: partial 16S ribosomal RNA
Rfam family: Bacterial small subunit ribosomal RNA
Source: RNAcentral
CCUACGGGUGGCAGCAGUGAGGAAUAUUGGUCAAUGGACGAGAGUCUGAACCAGCCAAGUAGCGUGAAGGAUGACUGCCCUAUGGGUUGUAAACUUCUUUUAUAUGGGAAUGAAAUGUUCCACGUGUGGGCUUUUGUAUGUACCAUAUGAAUAAGGAUCGGCUAACUCCGUGACAGCAGCCGCGGUAAUACGGAGGAUCCAAGCGUUAUCCGGAUUUAUUGGGUUUAAAGGGAGCGUAGGUGGAUUGUUAAGGCAGUUGUGAAAGUUUGCGGCUCAACCGUAAAAUUGCAGUUGAAACUGGCAGUCUUGAGUACAGUAGAGGUGGGCGGAAUUCGUGGUGUAGCGGUGAAAUGCUUAGAUAUCACGAAGAACUCCGAUUGCGAAGGCAGCUCACUGGACUGCAACUGACACUGAGGCUCGAAAGUGUGGGUAUCAAACAGGAUUAGAUACCCCAGUAGUC